GCUGGGCAUGGUGGUGCAAGUCUGUAAUCCUAGUGACUAGGGAGGCUGAAGCAGGAGGAUUGCAAGUUUGAGGCCAGCCUUAGCAACUUAGCAAGAUCUUGUCUCAA
This 107-nucleotide small RNA is filed under the name Marmota monax (woodchuck). The record is from RNAcentral. Lineage: Eukaryota; Metazoa; Chordata; Mammalia; Rodentia; Sciuridae.